AUAGAUAAAUUUUAUAUAGUUUAUAAAAAUUUAUUUUAAAAUUUAUUUUACAUAUAAAUUUUAGUGUUUAAUAUUUUUUAUUUUAAUAAUAGUAAAUAUUAUUAUUUAUAGUAAUUAAUAUUAAAAAUUUAAGAAAUUAAGAUUUAGUAAUAUAAAAAUUAUUAACAAAUUUUGUGCCAGCAGUUGCGGUUAUACAAAAAUUAAAUUAAAUUUUAUUAGUUAUUUAAUAAUUAAAUUUUUAAUUAAUUUUGAAUUAAAAUUAUUAGGUGAAAUUUUAAUUUUAUAUUAAUUUAUUUAUUUAUAUUUAUGAUUUAAUAAAUUUUAUUAUUAAACUAGGAUUAGAUACCCUAUUAUUUAAAAUUUAAAUUAAAAAUACUAAAAUAGUAUAUAAUUAUUUAUUGAAACUUAAAUAUUUUGGCGGUAUUUUAGUUUAUUUAGAGGAAUCUGUUUAUUAAUUGAUAAUCCACGAAUAAAUUUACUUAAUUUAAGAUUUUGUAUAUCGUUGUUAAAAAAAUAUUUUUUAAUAAUUAUAAUAUUUUAAAAUUUUUAAUAAAAAUUAAAUCAAAUCAAGAUGCAGAUUAUAAUUAAGAAUAUAAUGGAUUACAAUAAAUUUAUUUAAAUGAAUUUUAUUUUGUAAUAUUUAAAUGAAAGUGGAUUUAAAUGUAAUUUUAUUUAGUUUGUUAAAAUGAUUAAAAUUUAAAAUAUGUACAUAUUGCCCGUCGCUUUCAUAUAUAAAUUGGAAUAAGUCGUAACAAAGUAGAGGUACUGGAAAGUGUUUCUAGAAAGAA
This 788-nucleotide non-coding RNA is filed under the name Erannis ankeraria. Lineage: Eukaryota; Metazoa; Arthropoda; Insecta; Lepidoptera; Geometridae. The record is from RNAcentral.